This is a long non-coding RNA of Neodiprion virginianus, 552 nucleotides long. RefSeq lists it as uncharacterized. The record is from RefSeq and is a predicted model, not a curated record. NCBI's taxonomy places the organism in Eukaryota, Metazoa, Arthropoda, Insecta, Hymenoptera, Diprionidae. The transcript has 2 exons.
GACAUCAGAUAGCGAUAGUCCUUUUGCCAAGUAGAACAGAAAUGGAACCUUAAGGUGGUAGCUGGUUGGUAACACCCGGCGUUUCUGGGCGAAGCACGAUAAAUAUUACACGUUCAAGAAACAUUAGGCUUGCUCCCCUGACUGUCGAGCCCACCUACAAAGAUGGCUCCCAUAAGGGGCUGUACUAGAUACAUACGUAUAGCGUAUAUCAUUAUCGUGCCAUUCCAAAUACGCAACAGUUGCUCAUUGACGUGAUAAAAAUAUAAGAAACAUAAAACAAUCAAAAAAUUGAUUGAACAAAUGAACAAAUAAAUAAAUAAGCAAAAAACGCCACUAAAUCUAACCUUAAGUACGAAUGUUAAAUUUGUUUUUUUUUUUUCUAAGUCAACAAUCGUCGGUUUAAGCGAAGAUGACCGAAGCGCACUAAACUAAUUCCUCAACCAUAGUCGGUUUUUUCUUGUUCUUGUUGAGGCUGAUUCAAGAUGUAUAAAAUAAAUAAAACAUAGAAGCUAAACGAAACAAAGAUUUGAAAAAAAAAAAAUUAAUAUAAAA